RNAcentral lists this long non-coding RNA (355 nucleotides) under Chlamydomonas reinhardtii. Its description in RNAcentral is "long non-coding RNA (CREI_LNC000024)". The record is from RNAcentral. Lineage: Eukaryota; Viridiplantae; Chlorophyta; Chlorophyceae; Chlamydomonadales; Chlamydomonadaceae.
GCCCUUGGCCUUAUAAUGCUUGGUGUACACGGGCGCCUGCACCACCUCGUGGCCCUGCUCACGCGUGCGCGCCAGGCUGAUGGUGGCGGUGCCGAUGAGGUCGUCGCGUGUGAGCGUGUCCUCGUCCAUCAGCGUCAGCUCCAGCGUGUUCUCGUUGAUGAUGCUGUGGUGGGAGGGAAGACAGGGUGGAAGGUGUGAGGAAAGGCAGGUGCGAAUGUACGGUAGUUAGGCGAUGGCAUCGGGGAUGAUGGGGGUAGGUGACGCAACGUGUCGCCCGUGUGAUGCACUGGAGCGUAGGCGCGCAGCAUGCCCGAGAGCCAACCAGUAAUAGAACCCUGGCAAGCACGCAAAACAA